CGUUAAGAAGCUAAAGUGGAUAAAAGCGUUGGCCUUUUAAGCCAAUGAUUGGUGACUUCCAACCACCCUUAAUGA
RNAcentral lists this transfer RNA (75 nucleotides) under Trichonotus elegans (long-rayed sand-diver). Its description in RNAcentral is "tRNA-Lys". It matches the Rfam family "tRNA". Rfam says of the family: Transfer RNA (tRNA) molecules are approximately 80 nucleotides in length. RNAcentral also lists the same sequence under 1 other name. Lineage: Eukaryota; Metazoa; Chordata; Actinopteri; Gobiiformes; Trichonotidae. The record is from RNAcentral.